Oncorhynchus keta (chum salmon) is the source of this 2383-nucleotide long non-coding RNA. RefSeq lists it as uncharacterized. The record is from RefSeq and is a predicted model, not a curated record. NCBI's taxonomy places the organism in Eukaryota, Metazoa, Chordata, Actinopteri, Salmoniformes, Salmonidae. The transcript is spliced from 13 exons.
CAUUGAGAGUACCGUUUCAAACAAAAGAAGAUUAAUACAUUGACGAAACUCAUAACUAACUAACAUAACUAUUAAUACAUAACUGGAAUGAAAUAAACAAAAACGUGUUCCUAUGUUGAGACAGGUGUUGUUAGGAGGACAUGAUGAGACAGGUGUUGUUAGGAGGACAUGAUGAGACAGGUGUUGUUAGGAGACAGGUGUUGUUAGGAGACAGGUGUUGUUAGGAGACAGGUGUUGUUAGGAUAUGUUGAGACAGGUGUUGUUAGGAGACAGGUGUUGUUAGGAUAUGAUGAGACAGGUGUUGUUAGGAGACAGGUGUUGUUAGGAUAUGUUGAGACAGGUGUUGUUAGGAGACAGGUGUUGUUAGGAGGAUAUGAUGAGACAGGUGUUGUUAGGAGGACAUGAUGAGACAGGUGUUGUUAGGAGGACAUGAUGAGACAGGUGUUGUUAGGAGGACAUGAUGAGACAGGUGUUGUUAGGAGGACAUGAUGAGACAGGUGUUGUUAGGAGGACAUGAUGAGACAGGUGUUGUUAGGAGGACAUGAUGAGACAGGUGUUGUUAGGAGGAUAUGAUGAGACAGGUGUUGUUAGGAGGACAUGAUGAGACAGGUGUUGUUAGGAGGACAUGAUGAGACAGGUGUUGUUAGGAGACAGGUGUUGUUAGGAGACAGGUGUUGUUAGGAGACAGGUGUUGUUAGGAGACAGGUGUUGUUAGGAGGACAUGAUGAGACAGGUGUUGUUAGGAGGACAUGAUGAGACAGGUGUUGUUAGGAGGACAUGAUGAGACAGGUGUUGUUAGGAGGACAUGAUGAGACAGGUGUUGUUAGGAGGACAUGAUGAGACAGGUGUUGUUAGGAGACAGGUGUUGUUAGGAGACAGGUGUUGUUAGGAGACAGGUGUUGUUAGGAGACAGGUGUUGUUAGGAGGAUAUGAUGAGACAGGUGUUGUUAGGAGGACAUGAGGAGACAGGUGUUGUUAGGAGACAGGUGUUGUUAGGAGACAGGUGUUGUUAGGAUAUGUUGAGACAGGUGUUGUUAGGAGACAGGUGUUGUUAGGAGACAGGUGUUGUUAGGAGGACAUGAUGAGACAGGUGUUGUUAGGAGACAGGUGUUGUUAGGAGACAGGUGUUGUUAGGAGGAUAUGAUGAGACAGGUGUUGUUAGGAGGACAUGAUGAGACAGGUGUUGUUAGGAGGACAUGAUGAGACAGGUGUUGUUAGGAGGACAUGAUGAGACAGGUGUUGUUAGGAGGACAUGAUGAGACAGGUGUUGUUAGGAGACAGGUGUUGUUAGGAGACAGGUGUUGUUAGGAGACAGUUGUUGUUAGGAGACCGGUGUUGCUAGGAGACAGGUGUUGUUAGGACAUGAUGAGACAGGUGUUGUUAGGAGGACAUGAUGAGACAGGUGUUGUUAGGAGGACAUGAUGAGACAGGUGUUGUUAGGAGGACAUGAUGAGACAGGUGUUGUUAGGAGACAGGUGUUGUUAGGAGACAGGUGUUGUUAGGAGACAGGUGUUGUUAGGAGAAUAUGAUGAGACAGGUGUUGUUAGGAGGAUAUGAUGAGACAGGUGUUGUUAGGAGACAGGUGUUGUUAGGAGGAUAUGAUGAGACAGGUGUUGUUAGGAGGACAUGAUGAGACAGGUGUUGUUAGGAGGAUAUGAUGAGACAGGUGUUGUUAGGAGGACAUGAUGAGACAGGUGUUGUUAGGAGACAGGUGUUGUUAGGAUAUGAUGAGACAGGUGUUGUUAGGAGGAUAUGAUGAGACAGGUGUUGUUAGGAUAUGAUGAGACAGGUGUUGUUAGGAGACAGGUGUUGUUAGGAGGACAUGAUGAGACAGGUGUUGUUAGGAGGAUAUGAUGAGACAGGUGUUGUUAGGAGGACAUGGUGAGACAGGUGUUGUUAGGAGGAUAUGAUGAGACAGGUGUUGUUAGGAGACAGGUGUUGUUAGGAGGAUAUGAUGAGACAGGUGUUGUUAGGAGGAUAUGAUGAGACAGGUGUUGUUAGGAGACAGGUGUUGUUAGGAGGAUAUGAUGAGACAGGUGUUGUUAGGAGGACAUGAUGAGACAGGUGUUGUUAGGAGGAUAUGAUGAGACAGGUGUUGUUAGGAGACAGGUGUUGUUAGGAGGACAUGAUGAGACAGGUGUUGUUAGGAGGACAUGAUGAGACAGGUGUUGUUAGGAGGACAUGAUGAGACAGGUGUUGUUAGGAGGACAUGAUGAGACAGGUGUUUAACAGCCAUUAAACUCAGUAACUGUUUUAAAGUCACCGUUGGCCUCAUGGUGAAAUCCCUGAGUAGUUUCCUUCCUCUCCGGCAACUGAUUUAGGAAGGACGCCUGUAUCUUUGUAUUGACGGUGUGUCAAUACACACCCAAUCCAAAGUGUAAUU